This 204-nucleotide ribosomal RNA is filed under the name alpha proteobacterium N3mIS3. Its description in RNAcentral is "partial 16S ribosomal RNA". It matches the Rfam family "Bacterial small subunit ribosomal RNA", at positions 66 to 301 of the family's 1533-position model. The record is from RNAcentral. Lineage: Bacteria; Pseudomonadati; Pseudomonadota; Alphaproteobacteria.
GCGCACCUUCGGGUGAGCGGCGGACGGGUUAGUAACGCGUGGGAACGUGCCCUUCUCUGCGGAAUAGCCUCUGGAAACGGAGAGUAAUACCGCAUACGCCCUUCGGGGGAAAGAAUUUCGGGGAAGGAUCGGCCCGCGUUAGAUUAGGUAGUUGGUGGGGUAACGGCCUACCAAGCCUACGAUCUAUAGCUGGUUUUAGAGGAU